RNAcentral lists this ribosomal RNA (301 nucleotides) under uncultured bacterium. RNAcentral's name for it is "partial 16S ribosomal RNA". It matches the Rfam family "Bacterial small subunit ribosomal RNA", at positions 509 to 807 of the family's 1533-position model. The record is from RNAcentral.
CAGUCGCCACGGGAAUACGUAGGGUGCGAGCGUUAAUCGGAAUUACUGGGCGUAAAGCGUGCGCAGGCGGUUCGUUAAGACAGAUGUGAAAUCCCCGGGCUUAACCUGGGAACUGCAUUUGUGACUGGCAAGCUAGAGUAUGGCAGAGGGGGGUGGAAUUCCGCGUGUAGCAGUGAAAUGCGUAGAUAUGCGGAGGAACACCGAUGGCGAAGGCAGCCCCCUGGGCCAACACUGACGCUCAUGCACGAAAGCGUGGGGAGCAAACAGGAUUAGAUACCCCCGUAGUCCCUGUCUCUUAUAC